Molecule: ribosomal RNA, 398 nt
Filed under: uncultured bacterium
Lineage: Bacteria
Description: bacterial SSU rRNA
Rfam family: Bacterial small subunit ribosomal RNA
Source: RNAcentral
AGAGUUUGAUCCUGGCUCAGAUUGAACGCUGGCGGCAUGCCUUACACAUGCAAGUCGAACGGCAGCGGGGACUUCGGUCCGCCGGCGAGUGGCGAACGGGUGAGUAAUGCAUCGGAACGUACCCGGAAGUGGGGGAUAACGUAGCGAAAGUUACGCUAAUACCGCAUAUUCUGUGAGCAGGAAAGAGGGGGAUCUUCGGACCUCUUGCUUUCGGAGCGGCCGAUGUCAGAUUAGCUAGUUGGUGAGGUAAAGGCUCACCAAGGCGACGAUCUGUAGCGGGUCUGAGAGGAUGAUCCGCCACACUGGAACUGAGACACGGUCCAGACUCCUACGGGAGGCAGCAGUGGGGAAUUUUGGACAAUGGGCGCAAGCCUGAUCCAGCCAUGCCGCGUGAGUGA